Molecule: ribosomal RNA, 500 nt
Filed under: uncultured bacterium
Lineage: Bacteria
Description: partial 16S ribosomal RNA
Rfam family: Bacterial small subunit ribosomal RNA
Source: RNAcentral
AUUGAACGCUAGCGGCAUGCCUUACACAUGCAAGUCGAACGGCAGCACGAACUUCGGUUUGGUGGCGAGUGGCGAACGGGUGAGUAAAGCAUCGGAACGUGCCUUGUAGUGGGGGAUAACUAUUCGAAAGAGUAGCUAAUACCGCAUACGAUCUAAGGAUGAAAGUGGGGGAUCUUCGGACCUCAUGCUAUUAGAGCGGCCGAUGUCAGAUUAGCUAGUGGGUGAGGUAAAAGCUCACCAAGGCGACGAUCUGUAGCUGGUCUGAGAGGACGACCAGCCACACUGGGACUGAGACACGGCCCAGACUCCUACGGGAGGCAGCAGUGGGGAAUUUUGGACAAUGGGCGAAAGCCUGAUCCAGCAAUGCCGCGUGUGUGAAGAAGGCCUUCGGGUUGUAAAGCACUUUUGUUCGGGAAGAAAAGGUUUGUGUUAAUACCAUAAGCUGAUGACGGUACCGAAAGAAUAAGCACCGGCUAACUACGUGCCAGCCGCCGCAGUAA